GAUGAAGACCGCAGCGAAAUGCGAUAAGUAAUGUGAAUUGCAGAAUUCAGUGAAUCAUCGAAUCUUUGAACGCACAUUGCGCCCGCCAGUAUUCUGGCGAGCAUGCCUGUUCGAGCGUCAUUUCAACCAUCAAGCCCCAGGCUUGUGUUGGAGCCCUGCGGCUGCCGCAGCCUCCCAAAACCAGUGGCGGGCUCGCUAUCACACCGAGUGCAGUAGUUUACUCUUCGCUCAGGGCGUGUGGCGGGUGCUAGCCGUGAAACCCCCAACUUCUCAAGGUUGACCUCGGAUCAGGUAGGAAUACCCGCUGAACUUAAGCAUAUCAAUAAGCGGAGGA
This 334-nucleotide unclassified non-coding RNA is filed under the name soil metagenome. RNAcentral describes it as "partial contains 5.8S ribosomal RNA, internal transcribed spacer 2, and large subunit ribosomal RNA". The stretch from base 1 to 120 matches the Rfam family "5.8S ribosomal RNA", at positions 35 to 154 of the family's 154-position model. The record is from RNAcentral.